This 427-nucleotide ribosomal RNA is filed under the name uncultured marine bacterium. RNAcentral's name for it is "bacterial SSU rRNA". It matches the Rfam family "Bacterial small subunit ribosomal RNA", at positions 360 to 804 of the family's 1533-position model. The record is from RNAcentral.
AAUAUUGCACAAUGGAGGAAACUCUGAUGCAGCGACGCCGCGUGAGUGAUGAAGGCCUUCGGGUUGUAAAGCUCUGUGAUAGGGGAAGAUAAUGACGGUACCCUAUCAGAAAGGACCGGCUAACUUCGUGCCAGCAGCCGCGGUAAUACGAGGGGUCCAAGCGUUGUUCGGAAUUACUGGGCGUAAAGCGGGUGUAGGCGGCCUGCCAAGUCGGAUGUGAAAGCCCUGGGCUCAACCCAGGAAGUGCAUCCGAUACUGGCAGGCUUGAGUACUGAAGAGGGAAGUGGAAUUCCAGGUGUAGUGGUGAAAUACGUAGAUAUCUGGAGGAACAUCGGUGGCGAAGGCGGCUUCCUGGUCAUGUACUGACGCUCAGACCCGAAAGCGUGGGUAGCAAACAGGAUUAGAUACCCUGGUAGUCCACGCCGUA